This is an RNA transcript of Hordeum vulgare subsp. vulgare (domesticated barley), 2689 nucleotides long. RefSeq lists it as uncharacterized. Lineage: Eukaryota; Viridiplantae; Streptophyta; Magnoliopsida; Poales; Poaceae. The record is from RefSeq and is a predicted model, not a curated record. The transcript has 3 exons.
CGCUCGGCGGCCGCCGCCAGACUCGCCGCUGCCGUCGGCCAUGGCUUCCCCGCCGCCGCCGCCCGCCCCCACCACUAUAACAGAUCUCAGCGAAGACCUCCUCCGCGCGAUCUUCCUCCGCCUCCCGUCCCUCCCGAGCCUCAUCCACGCCGCCUACAGCCACCCCGCCUUCCGCAACGCCGCCCGCUCGUCCCGCGCGUUCCGCCGCAGCUUCAGCGAGCUCCACCCGCCGGACGUCCUCGCCUUCUUCAGUGCGAAACACAUGAAGGUAAUCCUGACCUCCCCCUCCCACUCCCCAUGGCGCCGCUCCGACCCGGAUCUCCUCGCCGCCGAUUUCUUGCAGUUGGACCGCCCCAGCAACGGCUGUUGGGAGAUCAAAACCUCGGAUCCAGACUACAAGGGCUACCUUUGCCUCAUCAACCCGAGUGGCGGGCUCGCCCCCUACAACCCUGUAACUCAAGCCCUCAAAAUCUUCGUCCCGGCGCCAACGCCACAGGACAGAGUCGCCACACAAGGAAUUGAGUUCUUGACGCUCGCCUGUGACGACGAUCCAAAGUCGUCGCGUGUGCUCUGCGUCGGCCACGACAAGAAAUGGACGCGCAUGAGAGUGGCCGUCUUCUCGCCGCGCACAAUGGAGUGGCAGGUUUUUCCAGAGGCCGAGGCACUGCUGCUGCCUGAGAGAGAUAGGAACAUGAUGGGCUCGGUGAUGCGCGGGUUCGUCUGCUGGGCACACUGGAGAGGAGACUGCAUCCUCAAGCUCAACACGGCCACCUUUCAGUUCUCUGUUAUGAAUCCGCCAACGCCAUUAUACGCAUCAAUCAAGGUUUGCCAGACAACAGAUGAGAAGCUCUGUGUCGUACAUAUGAAGGAGACCAAACUUGCUGCUUGGCUUUGGAUAACUGAAACUGAUGAUGGCUCUCUAGAUGGGAGGUGGAUGAUGUCCAAGGAGUUUCCAUUGCGCCCGAUUUUGAAGGAGCUCGCUGAGGACUACUCAGUAGAGGUAGAGUAUGUUUAUGGGCUUCUUGUGGCCGCCAUCGACGGCUUUGUGUAUAUGACUAUUUACUAUGGCAAGCCUUCAGAUCCUUCUGAGGUGUUCCUAUCCUUAUGCCUGGAAACAGCAGAGACGAAGAAGCUCUUUAAGGGUGCAUUCUGUUAUAAUGACGAGACCCAGCCCUACGUCAUGACAUGGCAUCCCUCUCUGGUGCAAAGCAAGGAGGCAUCAAAAACUAAAGUUACUCAAGACAAUGUUGUGGAUGAUUGUCCCGUGAGCACAGAAGAAACUUCCUCUCUUGUCACUGCAUUACAGUCAUUUAAACAAUCUAUGGUAAAUGACGGUGAGGACAUCAUGGAGGAUUACAAGGUCCCUCUUAUGAGCAAAAUCACUACUUUGGAUGCGCAAUGGAAUAGUGCAAGGGAUCGUAUCUUGAGGAUAAGUGCAUGACUCUUUUCUUCUAUAUGAACCGCUGGAGCACCUGACCAUUCAAGUCUUCAUUUGUUUUUACUGGAAUAGUAACCUGAUGAUGGCAAGCGUGCAAGGAGAAGCUGACGGGAGCUUGUUGUCGUGAUCAUAGUGUGUAUCAGGGAACAGAAACUGAAGUUACCCGAGACUGUUGCAGAUGGUCAAGAUUCCCUCUGUCUUUGUGAGUGCACUGCAUUCAUUCCGCCAAGUUCAGAUGAAUGAUGGUAAAGAAACUGUGUUCUAUUGAAGAUGACAAGGGCUAUCUUAUAAGAAACAUAACUACUUUGGAUGCACAAUUGGUGUCUGUGAAUGACUCUGAGAGCAAGUGUACAAGGGGAAGCUGUUAACAACUUGUUGCCAGUUCGAGUAACCUUCCAAUUGAUCAUGUUGUGUGCUCGAGCUGAGAGCAUUGUAUUACUGCAGGGUUGUGAAACAAUGCUAUCCACUUGAAUGCCUUCGCUCCAUCUAAAGAAAGUGGCGUUGAAGUGGGUAUAGAAGUGGGCUUCCUCUGCUUUGAAUGCCAAUGUGUUAGAUAAGGUGGAUUUUGGAUUCAUUGGCAGCUGUGAUGACAAUUGGAGGGCUAGUAAUUCCAUGUGGCUACAGUGGAAAAAGAGAGCUUUCCGCAUUGCUCAAAUUGAAUACCAAAGAUUUUCUUCGACCAGUUUGGAUGACAAGUGUACCCUACUUCUACAAUUGCAAUGACAACAAUGCUUCUUGGACUGAGAAGUAUCAUUGUUUCAUGUUCGAAGCAAAAAAUAAGAAUAAAAAUCAGUUAAGCAAAGCAGAUUUCUUUAAUCUCAUGUUAUCCUCAUGUCAAUCUGUUGAUGCUUUGUCCUUAUGACGUAUCUUAUUUGUCGCCAGGGGAGAAUUCAAGAACUGGUCCGAGUUAAGCAAAGUGUGCCGAAUUCAUAUGCUGGAAUUUCAGUAAAUGUGUGCACAACUAACAAGUAACAAGACACACUCAGUCGUAUCUGUCGUGACUGUGUUCGCGAUGAUUAGUUGAUAUAACUGUAGAUGUAUAUAUUUCUUUUCCCGGAAGAAAAGGAAGAGAAAUUAUACCUCAGUUGUCCAUGGGCAGCAACAGGUACAGACCUGAUCUAUGUGUGCCGAGAUAAUAGCAUCAGGCUGGUUAUAACUGAUGACAAAGAAACGAAACACUGUUGAACAGCAUGCAGCCUCUCUAAUUGCGAUGGCACCUCAAGUGCACAACAAUAAUUAAUUCUCUAGUGA